Molecule: long non-coding RNA, 290 nt
Filed under: Nicotiana benthamiana
Lineage: Eukaryota; Viridiplantae; Streptophyta; Magnoliopsida; Solanales; Solanaceae
Description: long non-coding RNA (NBEN_LNC032505)
Source: RNAcentral
AAAUAACCAUGUCUUACCCCCAAGAGAAACCUGGUACCCCCCACCAACAUCUCCUUCGAACACACCCUCAUCUGCUCCUCCUACUGAACCCCCAAAACCUAGGGUUCGUAGGCAGAAAAUAUUGGCUAGAAAAACUGUAGCAUCUGGAGCCCUAAAGAAAGCUCUAAACGAGAAAUUGAUGGCUAGCCAAAAGAAAGAAAGCCCUGUACAUGAAUCUGACUCCAGCUCUAAGUCUGAAGAUUAUUUUUUCUGCUAGUGAAGUUGAUGAACAUGGGUCUUUUGAUGCUGAG